AACGAACGCUGGCGGCAUGCCUAACACAUGCAAGUCGAACGACACCUUCGGGUCUGGUGGCGCACGGGUGCGUCACGCGUGGGAACCUGCCCUUAGGCUUGGAAUAACUCCCCGAAAGGGGUGCUAAUACCGGUUAAUGUACUCGGACCAAAGAUUUAUCGCGGUUGGAUGGGCGCGCGUGGUAUUAGCUAGUUGGUAGGGGAAAAGCCUAUCACGGCUACGAUCCAUAGCUGGUCAGUGAGGCAGCGCAGCGACACUGGUCCUGUGACACGGCCCAGACUACUACAGGAAGCAGGAGAGGGUAAUAUAGCAAAACGGGGGAAGGGCAGAAGGAGCAAGGGUGGGAGAGUGAUGAAGGCCGUAGGGAAGUAAAGCUCUUUAACCCGGGAUGAUAAUGACAGUACCGGAAGAAUAAGCACCGGCUAACUCCGUG
RNAcentral lists this ribosomal RNA (433 nucleotides) under uncultured bacterium. Its description in RNAcentral is "partial 16S ribosomal RNA". It matches the Rfam family "Bacterial small subunit ribosomal RNA", at positions 29 to 507 of the family's 1533-position model. The record is from RNAcentral.